CACCUCUCAGGGUCACACCUGGCGAGUCUACCAGUCUCGAUUACGGGAGGGAGAGUCAAGCAGAGGCCUUACCCAUUCCAUUCCUAGCUUGGGCAGUGGCUAGCGAGUGGAAGACAAUCUGCUACAAGU
This 129-nucleotide small nucleolar RNA is filed under the name Ornithorhynchus anatinus (platypus). Lineage: Eukaryota; Metazoa; Chordata; Mammalia; Monotremata; Ornithorhynchidae. The record is from RNAcentral.